CUAAAAAAGCAUUAUAGUCAUUGUCUAGUAACUAGUCUUACUCUCAUUUAAAAAAAUUCUAAUGGUUUAGUCAGUUUUAAGAAAGAUACUGCGUUUUGAUAACGUCUCGGAUGGUGUUUCACUGGUUUCCUAAAAUAUUUAAGUUAGUGUUAAUAUGAAAAGUAUAUUUAUAUUUUGCGUAAAAAUCACUAUAAUCUUAUAAAAAUAGUAUCGUGAUUGGUCCUAUUAUAAUCAGAAAAAGCUCACGAUUGCAUUGGAAAAGACCCACAAAAAAAUAGUAAAAAAUAAAGAAGUUACACAUUGCGUUAUUAUCUAUCCUUCAUUUGCUGACCUUUUCUACGUUCGGAAAAGAUAUGGUCGAACAUCGAACCUCGGUCUAAGGCACUUCAGUCUCACAUAAAUGUGCAUCGACCCUUAUUGUACAUUUGGUUUGUUUUCAGGCAUAAUUAACUUUAUAUUUAUCGAAUGAGAUAUAUUAAAUUGUUUAUUAGAAAUUUAUGACUCAGAAAACGAUCUGUUAAAAAUUUAUGAUACAAAGAACGAGCUUUUCUCAAAGGAAGUUCUGGGAUAACGGCAGUGAGGUCAAUCACAGUCCUCCCACUAGAAGGCAUUGCCUUCCUCACCUCGUGAUCAGAUUCUUCGGAGACAAAGUCCCAAUUCUUUGGCAAAGUGGCGUCAGGCCGCUUGCCUUGUUCAAACAUUGUUUCAAUCGGCAACCUGAGGCGUCCGAUAGGCAGAUCUUCAACCAACGUCCGUUCCCAGAUCUUAGACUCAUUCACUCAUCCCUGAGGUCACUUGCACCUCAAGAUCUUAUCAUAAAACUGUAUAAUACAGUCAUUCUUCUCGGACUCUCUCUUUCUAGAAACGUGUUGCUGCUAACAUGUUUAAUUAAAAUAUAAAUAAAAUAGAAGAAUAACAAAAUUUAAUGUCUUAUUCAAAUCAAAGGCACAGCCCCCAGUUGGUCACCCUCCAGUAAUCGGCUCCAUUACCCUAUUGUACUUUGUUAGCAAAUUGAUGUCAUUUUGGUGUAUUGAGGUAGGUGUGUGACUAUAGAAUCGUGGUAUGUGGCCUCCAAAUUGCCUUUGAAUCAUGACAAAAAUUAGAAAUAAAAAGUUAAGUCAUCGUUUCUAUUCUAGCAUGACUAUGUAUUGAUAUUAAUGUACACCGGCAUUUCAAUUCCAAUCUCCGAACAUUUGUGAGAGAAAUUACUGCAUACAUUGUAACGCCGAGGUUCGUGCUCAACGGGGGAACAGGCGAUGAAAUAAAUUUUAAAUGUUUGUUAUUUAACUCUUAAAUCUACUGUUUCAAAAACUAAGAAACGCAAGGAAACUUCGUUUGAUAAAAUAUCAACACAGUGAUACUGACCUACGCAGAUUUCUCCGGCGGAGGGAUUGUCCAACGACUCGUCAGCUCCCUUUUUGCACGGCGCGAAACUAUGCCUCUCAAGAUCCCACUAAGCGAGAACCGAGAUUCGAAGUGCGUAGAUGUGCGAGAAUCGCACGCAACGCUAUGCAUUCGCACGAGCUUAGCGAGAUCGAGAGAGUCAUACCGUAAUCGGCUAAUCUUGUCGUGAAUAUUAAUCGCGAAUUGGAUCAAAUCCGCCCGGGAUUUUGUUGUUUCAAGGCGGGGACGCGACUGACAGUGACUUCGCGAUUAAUCUUCCGGAAAAGCUGGACUUUUGUCCAAUCGAAGAAUUCGUUCCCUACCUCUAUUCAAUAGGAUGAAGCUGCUAGGUCGCAAGAGAACUAGCAGUUCUAGAUCUAAGAUUGAGGCCUAGACAGUAAGUAGCAAAAACCGAAGGUAGAAUAUUGAAUUGUCUGUGCGUGAUGCGUUGCACUUACUAGACUCUCUUGUAAUCGAUUAUCUUGCCUAACUGCAAGCAGAUCGCGUUUCGCUGGUUGCGGCACCAAGGAUCGCAAUCGAGGUGGCGUGAUCGCGACGACAUCCGGGACACACAUACGGCACGCACACUCGGUACAGGCUCGUGACACACACACGCAAGAGAGGUGGGAUUUCAGAAUGGGGUUCGAUCGUACCGAGUGAAACAUUAGAUAUGGGUAUCACAUCGCUAACUAGCGAAAUAAGGAAGUGGGGAAACAAGUUACUGUGGCUUACGGACCGCCAGUUGGACAGUUGGCCAAUUGAUUAUACAUGUGCAAGAUCUGUGACCCGAACUUACUCUACAAGCUUCAAUAGAUUCUACAAACACAGAAAGUGAAUCAAUAAUUUUACAAAAACACAUAGAAAAAAUUACACGUUUGAGGUAGAUAUCCUGAAAAACGGACAGUGGUUAGAAAUAAUAACAUCGAUAAUACUGACAGUAAUUUGAGUGAAAAUAUUAUUAUUGAAAAAGUUAAGGAGAAGUUAAAAGCGACAAAUUUAGUCACAUAUGAACAGUGGGAAAAUAAUCGUUUUGAGGUUAAUCAUCUAUUUAAAUGUGCCUAUGAUAAUGGUGACGAAUACUAAACCUUGUUAAGUUUAGUUGCUAAAAAUGGUUACAUUAAUAUAGUAAAAGUUCUAAUAAGGAAAGGAACAAUUGUUAGUAAACCAAAUAGCUGCGAUAGUACUCCUUUACUUUUGGUUGCUAGCAAUGGCCAUUUGGAAAUAGACAGAGUUUUCAUACAUAACGAAGAUGAUGUUAAUAACCCAAACAAAUACGGAAAAUCUCCAUUUUUUUGUGCAGCUAAAAAUGGUCACUUAGAAAUAAUGAAAGUUCUAUUGAACAAAGGGGUUAAUACUAAUAUAAUAGCUUAUGACGGGUCGACUCCUUUGCAUUGUGCUUCUGGUAAUGGCCAUUUAGACACAAUAAAAUAUCUCGCAGAAGAGAAGAAUGUUAA
Megalopta genalis is the source of this 2837-nucleotide non-coding RNA. The record is from RefSeq and is a predicted model, not a curated record. Lineage: Eukaryota; Metazoa; Arthropoda; Insecta; Hymenoptera; Halictidae.